This 501-nucleotide ribosomal RNA is filed under the name uncultured Bacillota bacterium. RNAcentral describes it as "bacterial SSU rRNA". It matches the Rfam family "Bacterial small subunit ribosomal RNA", at positions 534 to 1033 of the family's 1533-position model. Lineage: Bacteria; Bacillati; Bacillota. The record is from RNAcentral.
GCAAGCGUUGUCCGGAAUUAUUGGGCGUAAAGGGCUCGCAGGCGGUUCCUUAAGUCUGAUGUGAAAGCCCCCGGCUCAACCGGGGAGGGUCAUUGGAAACUGGGGAACUUGAGUGCAGAAGAGGAGAGUGGAAUUCCACGUGUAGCGGUGAAAUGCGUAGAGAUGUGGAGGAACGCCAGUGGCGAAGGCGACUCUCUGGUCUGUAACUGACGCUGAGGAGCGAAAGCGUGGGGAGCGAACAGGAUUAGAUACCCUGGUAGUCCACGCCGUAAACGAUGAGUGCUAAGUGUUAGGGGGUUUCCGCCCCUUAGUGCUGCAGCUAACGCAUUAAGCACUCCGCCUGGGGAGUACGGUCGCAAGACUGAAACUCAAAGGAAUUGACGGGGGCCCGCACAAGCGGUGGAGCAUGUGGUUUAAUUCGAAGCAACGCGAAGAACCUUACCAGGUCUUGACAUCCUCUGACAAUCCUAGAGAUAGGACGUCCCCUUCGGGGGCAGAGUG